GACAGAGGCCUCAAGCGUUAGGCGGAAUCACUGGGCUUAAAGCGUGUGUAGGCGGAUCGUUAAGUGUCUUGUGAAAUCCCACGGCUCACCCGUGGAACUGCUGGGCAUACUGGCGAUCUUGGGCCAACUAGGGGCAGCCGGAACAAGCGGUGGAGCGGUGAAAUGCGUAGAGAUGUGGAGGAACACCGAUGGCGAAGGCAGCCCCCUGGGAUGAGACUGACGCUCAUGUACGAAAGCGUGGGGAGCAAACAGG
RNAcentral lists this ribosomal RNA (253 nucleotides) under uncultured bacterium. Its description in RNAcentral is "partial 16S ribosomal RNA". It matches the Rfam family "Bacterial small subunit ribosomal RNA", at positions 524 to 776 of the family's 1533-position model. The record is from RNAcentral.